Molecule: long non-coding RNA, 1653 nt
Filed under: Zostera marina
Lineage: Eukaryota; Viridiplantae; Streptophyta; Magnoliopsida; Alismatales; Zosteraceae
Description: long non-coding RNA (ZMAR_LNC000597)
Source: RNAcentral
GUGGGGGCAUGAUAUUACCAGAAAUGAAGAAAAUAUUCAAUUUUGUAUCAACAACUUUCUUUCUCUCCUGUAAUAUCUGGAGAAGACACAUUAAAAAAAAGGUUAGGAGUUUAUCACACGAACAAGCAUCUUAGUGGGGUUCCAUUUCCAUCAUUCAUUAAAUUCACAUAUAAUUUAAUCAAUUAAAUAAAUAAAACGCACAGAGAAAACUAGAACUACUUAAACUACAUCAAAGUAGUUCAUCUGAAUUGGCAUACAAGAUUAUCUUAACUUGUCACAUAAAUUAUUCAGAUUUUGAGACCAUGCUUUGUAAAAAAAAGUGACUUCCAAUGAGAACUAAUGAGAAUCUUGAUCUUUUAUUUCAAAUGGAGGUUUAUGAUCGAAAGUUGUUAGGAUUUUAGUAUGGGUUGCACCUAACCUAGCUACAUCUGUGACCAAAUUUCAUUAAUCAUAUGUAAUAACAAAAGCGUGCAAACCUAAUAACAAUUAGUGUGUAUUGAAAAAUGGAAUUAAGUAGUUUGGUUAUAAUUAAGUAGAAUUUGAAGGAAGGCACUUGUUGUUUAUUAAGAUGAAUAAUCAAAUAAUGUAGCUUAAAAAAAAAAAGAUUAAAAUUAACGUGUCAUUAUGUAUGGCCGACAUGAAAUGUGAAGAAUCAAGAGAGGGGUGGGGGACAAUGUCCUAUGAAGAAGCUUGUCUCCAUUAUUAAUACUGUUGUUAUGUUCUGUGCUGUGCUGUGAAUUUUGAAAUGGAACAAGUUCUUGUUUGAUUAAAAAUAAAAGAAUGCAGACAAUAGAUUCCGGAAUUCUAUGAUUUGAAAUCAGUGGGGGUGGGAGUGAGUAGUGUAGAAUAACAAUUUUAGUGGAGGAGAGUGUGGUAACAAUAUAUUAUAGUCACACACAAUAACAAGCCAAGAGGAGAAGCUUACUUGUGUGAUGGAUGCCUUGAAAGAGUAAAACUUUGGGAAGAUGUAUAUCAGAUUCCACCUAACAUAUCAUCAGAAAACCCGAAGUGGGUGAACCGUGUGGUUCGUAUGAAAUAAAUAUAUAGACGGUGUCUUAAAGAAAAGAUUUUAUAUCAACCCAAGACGCUAGAAACACCACCUAGAGACAUCCAUAGACAAGAAAUAGCUUGUGUGCCGUGUAGGAAUGAUUUUUCAUUUUUCCUGAAAAGAAAUUCCAAAAUAGCAGUCAGGAUUUAAAAUAACUUAAAAAUAGAGAGGAAAGAAAAUCUUGAGAAAAGAUAUGAAUGUGAGACAUUUGGAAUAUUUCCAAGUUAAAGUUGCAUUGGUCGUUGAUAGUUACCGAUGCAAUAAUUUGAUAAAUUUUUUUUACAAACCCAGGCAAACAAGCAAAAUAAGGAAGGAAAGAAAAUGGUUAAUGGAGAGCAGCAAAUGCAAUAAUAAUUAAGAAAUUCAAACCCCACACACAACCUGACAUGUUCCUAAUAAAAAAACAAACCAGCACAAAAUGCCAUACAUACAGUCAUAUACAGAACAGUGGUCAUAUGUACUAAAUUAAUAAACACAUGAUAUAUCGGUCAACCUGAUGAGACAUCAUGAUAAGAUAGAAAAAAGAAGAGUAUAUACGUAUAAAUGACAAAAAAAGAUCCAUUUGUUGUGUUGCGUGCCCAGCAUUAUAUGUUGUUGGUUCCGCC